GUGGGGAAUCUUCCGCAAUGGACUAAAGUCUGACGGAGCAACGCCGCGUGAGUGAUGAAGGUCUUCGGAUUGUAAAGCUCUGUUAAUCGGGACGAAAGAGCCUAGUGUGAAUAAUGCUAGGAAGUGACGGUACCGGAAUAGAAAGCCACGGCUAACUACGUGCCAGCAGCCGCGGUAAUACGUAGGUGGCAAGCGUUGUCCGGAAUUAUUGGGCGUAAAGCGCGCGCAGGCGGAUCUGCCAGUCUGUCUUAAAAGUUCGGGGCUUAACCCCGUGAUGGGAUGGAAACUACAGAUCUAGAGUAUCGGAGAGGAAAGUGGAAUUCCUAGUGGAGCGGUGAAAUGCGUAGAUAUUAGGAAGAACACCAGUGGCGAAGGCGACUUUCUGGACGAAAACUGACGCUGAGGCGCGAAAGCCAGGGGAGCGAACGGGAUUAGAUACCCCUGUAGUCC
RNAcentral lists this ribosomal RNA (450 nucleotides) under uncultured bacterium. Its description in RNAcentral is "partial 16S ribosomal RNA". It matches the Rfam family "Bacterial small subunit ribosomal RNA", at positions 354 to 796 of the family's 1533-position model. The record is from RNAcentral.